UUUCCGUAGGUGAACCUGCGGAAGGAUCAUUACUGAGUGAGGGCCCCUCGGGGUCCAACCUCCCACCCGUGUUUAACGAACCUUGUUGCUUCGGCGGGCCCGCCUCACGGCCGCCGGGGGGCAUCUGCCCUCGGGCCCGCGCCCGCCGAAGCCACCUGUGAACGCUGUCUGAAGUAUGCAGUCUGAGACAAUUAUUAAAUUAAUUAAAACUUUCAACAACGGAUCUCUUGGUUCCG
Molecule: unclassified non-coding RNA, 236 nt
Filed under: plant metagenome
Description: partial contains small subunit ribosomal RNA, internal transcribed spacer 1, and 5.8S ribosomal RNA
Source: RNAcentral